CCUACGGGUGGCAGCAGUGGGGAAUAUUGCACAAUGGGGGAAACCCUGAUGCAGCGACGCCGCGUGAGUGAAGAAGUAAUUCGUUAUGUAAAGCUCUAUCAGCAGGGAAGAAAAUGACGGUACCUGAGUAAGAAGCCCCGGCUAACUACGUGCCAGCAGCCGCGGUAAUACGUAGGGGGCAAGCGUUAUCCGGAUUUACUGGGUGUAAAGGGGGCGUAGACGGCAGUGCAAGUCUGGAGUGAAAGGCUGGGGCUCAACCCCCGGACUGCUCUGGAAACUGUACGGCUGGAGUGCAGGAGAGGUAAGUGGAAUUCCUGGUGUAGCGGUGAAAUGCGUAGAUAUUAGGAGGAACACCAGUGGCGAAGGCGGCUUACUGGACUGUAACUGACGUUGAGGCUCGAAAGCGUGGGGAGCAAACAGGAUUAGAUACCCGGGUAGUC
This 440-nucleotide ribosomal RNA is filed under the name uncultured bacterium. Its description in RNAcentral is "partial 16S ribosomal RNA". It matches the Rfam family "Bacterial small subunit ribosomal RNA", at positions 338 to 795 of the family's 1533-position model. The record is from RNAcentral.